Apis mellifera (honey bee) is the source of this 656-nucleotide long non-coding RNA. RefSeq lists it as uncharacterized. The record is from RefSeq and is a predicted model, not a curated record. The transcript has 2 exons. NCBI's taxonomy places the organism in Eukaryota, Metazoa, Arthropoda, Insecta, Hymenoptera, Apidae.
GAAUUUUGUUCUAUGGUAAACGCUAGAGGAGACCGGUAGUACUCUACUUGAUAUCCCAGGGGCACGGGGCAUGCACUUUUAGACGCACCACAUCCAUGUAGACGUUCCUCUUUCUCUGCUAUGGCGCCGCAUCGGAGAACGGUGUAAAAAGCCCACUGAAUGAUUCGCCGAUCCCUCGAGAAGAGCCGAUACAUCGCAUCGGUUGAGUUUCGAGUAUAUAUCAUACAUACAUAAUAUAUAUAUAUAUAUAUUAUGUUACAUAUACCUGAUCAAUGGAGAAAUACAUAGAAGAGUUCGUGACAUAAUCUUUUUCAUCUACUCUUUCCAUCAUUCCUUUCUAACCGUUUUGUUGCAUAAUUUUUCUGGAAUGUUAAAUUUCUGAAAGCACAAGUUGAAAAACGAAUUAAUUCCGGAUAAAUAUAUGUACUCUCAGAAACGAAUACAAUAAAUGAUGCUGAUGAGAAGUUAUCGAUUAUCGUAUCCAACUUAUGAUUCGUUAGCUUCACGUAUGCUGCCUUGAGAAAGAAUAGAGAGAGUAAUGAAUAUAUAUGUGUGAGUAGAAAGGGGCAAAUAGGCAAAUAGAAAGGGAUUGUGCAUGAGCUACCACAUGGAUGUAAUGAACCUAACAAAUUGGUAAUUGAUGGGGCAUAAUAAAG